AUGUAUUUGCUGCCAGGUAAAGAAGACAAUCUAUUUCUAUUUUGUGCAUGCCAAAUAAGAGGAUUGAGAAAUAUUGUCAUAGCUAGAGGCUUCUCUAAAAGUAUUCUGCUAAGAAGGCUCCGCCCUGCCCGCUUCUCUCCUGUCUCACCUAGAAGACUACUGGGCUGGAGAACUUGAGAACACCACUUUUCUACAUCUCCUGAAGGACAAGUUCUGGACGACACUAGCACCUUCACUCCACAAAGGUUAGUUUGUGACCUUCUUGCUUUCUAGUAUGUUUUAGGUAAUUUUAGAAAACAAGACUACUGCUUUGCAACAUGGUAGGUAAACAGCAGUUUCCAUUUCAAGGGGAAAUCAUACCUGACCAUCUUGCCGCCUGGGUUCCACUAGAUUAGAAAACAAGCAGAGAUAAACACAGCUUUAGUGAGUUGGUCGCACACUAAGGGAAGGAAUAACUGGGCCUUUUAAGAUAAAUGGAACUGACAAAGGGCAAGUUCUGCAAAGAGUAAACACAGCUCUAGGAAAGUUAUUCUGAACGCUGAUAUCUGCAAAUGAUAGCUGUAUAAUGUUGAUGCAAAGGUCUUUUUCCCAAGAUUUGAAAUAAAAUCCCCGCUUCCACCCCCCCA
RNAcentral lists this long non-coding RNA (626 nucleotides) under Sus scrofa (pig). RNAcentral describes it as "lncRNA (ENSSSCG00070018586.1)". The record is from RNAcentral. Lineage: Eukaryota; Metazoa; Chordata; Mammalia; Artiodactyla; Suidae.